UCCUUACAUUUGGGAUAACAUCGGGAAACUGGUGCUAAUACCGAAUGGUCUUCAUUGCUUUGGGGCGAUGGAGUAAAGGUGGCCUCUUCAUGAAAGCUACCGUGUAGGGAUGAGCCUGCGUACCAUUAGCUAGUAGGUGGGGUAAUGGCCCACCUAGGCUACGAUGGUUAGCGGGUCUGAGAGGAUGAUCCGCCACACUGGAACUGAAACACGGACCAG
RNAcentral lists this ribosomal RNA (219 nucleotides) under uncultured bacterium. RNAcentral's name for it is "partial 16S ribosomal RNA". It matches the Rfam family "Bacterial small subunit ribosomal RNA", at positions 129 to 334 of the family's 1533-position model. The record is from RNAcentral.